Molecule: ribosomal RNA, 1163 nt
Filed under: Menacanthus cornutus
Lineage: Eukaryota; Metazoa; Arthropoda; Insecta; Psocodea; Menoponidae
Description: 16S ribosomal RNA
Rfam family: Eukaryotic large subunit ribosomal RNA (bases 508-1163)
Source: RNAcentral
UUCUAUUAUUUUCAUUUAUAAAAGUGUAAAGAUAGUUUUUAGUCUAGAAAAUUAUUAAUUUACUUAUAAGUUAAAAAAAGAAAUUGUGACGAAAGUUUAAAUUGGAGCUGAAAAGGGAAAAUAAUCUAUAAAAAUGUAUUAAUGUACCUUUUGCAUCAUGGUUUAUUGAAUAAUUUAAAGAUAAGGAUUUCCCGAAUUGGAAGGAUCUAAUGUUAUUUGAUAGUUUGUGUUGCAAAACAAUUAAAAAAAUAAUAAUAGAAGUUAAAAGUUAACCGUUUUCCAAGAUAUCUGGUUCUUUUAUUUUAAGGUUCAAUCUUACUUUACAAAAUAUCUUUUUGUAAAGAUAGGGAAAAGGGGGUAAGCUCUUUUCUAACUUAUAAAAUAAAACAAAGUUUAAUUUCUACAAUUAAACAUGAAUUGAAUUUAUAAAAAUUUAAGUUAAAAAUAAAAGAAAUAAUAUUAAUUUUGUAAUUAUAUUAUAAUAAUAAAAUGAGUAGUUUUUAAUGUAUACUAAAUUUUAUUAAGGAACUCGGCAAAUAGUUAUUGUUCGACUGUUUAACAAAAACAUAGCUUAAUGAAAUAAUUGUAAGUAUGGCCUGCCCACUGAAUUUUUAAAUGGCUGCAGUAUAUUGACUGUGCUAAGGUAGCAUAAUAAAUUGUACUUUAAUUGGGUGAUGGAAUGAAAGGCUGCACGAGACAAAAACUGUCUCAAUAAUAAUUAAUGAAAUUAAGAUUUAAGUGCAAACUCUUAAAAGUGUAUGAUAGACGAGAAGACCCUAUAGAUCUUUAUUUAAGUAUUAUUAUUAAAAUAAGAAUUAAAUUUUGCUGGGGAAGUAAGUAAAUAUAACAACUUUACUUUAAAUAAACUUUAUUAAAGAAGAGAAUGAUCUUUAUUUAGACUAUAAGAAAAGUUACCUUAGGGAUAACAGCACACUAAAAAGUUAGGAGAUCACAUCUUAACUUGUGUUUGUGACCUCGAUGUUGAAUUAAGGUUUCCUUAAUAAGAAGAAAUAUUAAAGGUUAGUCUGUUCGACUAAUAAAAUCUUACAUGAUUUGAGUUCAGACCGACGCAAGUCAGGUCAGUUUCUAUCUUCAUAUUGUAUUUCCUACUUAGUACGAAAGGAAUUGUAGGCAGUUAAAUUAUAACAUUAUAAAUAAUAAAU